Molecule: transfer RNA, 72 nt
Filed under: Camelus bactrianus (Bactrian camel)
Lineage: Eukaryota; Metazoa; Chordata; Mammalia; Artiodactyla; Camelidae
Also listed under: 1 other name
Rfam family: tRNA
About the family: Transfer RNA (tRNA) molecules are approximately 80 nucleotides in length. Their secondary structure includes four short double-helical elements and three loops (D, anti-codon, and T loops).
Source: Rfam by way of RNAcentral
GAGGGUAUAGCUCAGUGGUAGAGUGUAUGCUUAGCAUGCACAAGGCCCUGGGUUCAAUCCUCAGUACCUCCA